Molecule: non-coding RNA, 74 nt
Organism: Podarcis lilfordi (Lilford's wall lizard)
Lineage: Eukaryota; Metazoa; Chordata; Lepidosauria; Squamata; Lacertidae
Source: the annotation of a GenBank genome assembly
AGAGUUGUAGCUCAGUGGUAGAGCACUUGAAUUGCAUGAAGAAGAUUCCAGGUUCGAAAUACCUGGCAUCUCCA